GGUGAGUAACACGUAUCCAACCUGCCGAUGACUCGGGGAUAGCCUUUCGAAAGAAAGAUUAAUACCCGAUGGCAUAGUUCUUCCGCAUGGUAGAACUAUUAAAGAAUUUCGGUCAUCGAUGGGGAUGCGUUCCAUUAGGUGGUUGGCGGGGUAACGGCCCACCAAGCCUUCGAUGGAUAGGGGUUCUGAGAGGAAGGUCCCCCACAUUGGAACUGAGACCACGGUCCAAACUCCUACGGGAGGCAGCAGUGAGGAAUAUUGGUCAAUGGACGAGAGUCUGAACCAGCCAAGUAGCGUGAAGGAUGACUGCCCUAUGGGUUGUAAACUUCUUUUAUACGGGAAUAAAGUGAGGCAGGUGUGCCUUAUUGUAUGUACCGUAUGAAUAAGGAUCGGCUAACUCCGUGCCAGCAGCCGCGGUAAUACGGAGGGAUCCGAGCGUUAUCCGGAUUUAUUGGGUUUAAAGGGAGCGUAGGCGGACGCUUAAGUCAGUUGUGAAAGUUUGCGGCUCAACCGUAAAAUUGCAGUUGAUACUGGGUGUCUUGAGUACAGUAGAGG
RNAcentral lists this ribosomal RNA (555 nucleotides) under uncultured Bacteroidales bacterium. RNAcentral describes it as "bacterial SSU rRNA". It matches the Rfam family "Bacterial small subunit ribosomal RNA", at positions 105 to 657 of the family's 1533-position model. The record is from RNAcentral. Lineage: Bacteria; Pseudomonadati; Bacteroidota; Bacteroidia; Bacteroidales.